This 408-nucleotide ribosomal RNA is filed under the name Lampanyctus intricarius (diamondcheek lanternfish). RNAcentral describes it as "partial 16S ribosomal RNA". It matches the Rfam family "Bacterial large subunit ribosomal RNA", at positions 1992 to 2551 of the family's 2925-position model. The record is from RNAcentral. Lineage: Eukaryota; Metazoa; Chordata; Actinopteri; Myctophiformes; Myctophidae.
AUGAAAGGCACCACGAGGGCUUAGCUGUCUCCCCUUUAAAGUCAAUGAAAUUGAUCUCCCCGUGCAGAAGCGGGGAUAUGCUCGUAAGACGAGAAGACCCUAUGGAGCUUAAGAUACAAAGCGAGUCGUGUCAAACACCCCCUCAAAGGAAAUGAACGAAAUGAACUCCGCUGGAAUGUCUUCGGUUGGGGCGACCGCGGGGAAAGACAAAACCCCCACAUGGACCAGGGCCACUAUAGCCCUAAAACCUAGACCCACAGGUCAAAUCAACAGUAAUUCUGACCACCAAAGAGCCGGCAAUGCCGAUCGACGGACCGAGUUACCCUAGGGAUAACAGCGCAAUCCCCUCCCAGAGCCCUUAUCGACGAGGGGGUUUACGACCUCGAUGUUGGAUCAGGACAUCCUAAU